ACCGUGAUAGCUCAGCUAGUAGAGUAUCUGCCCGGUAAGCGGAGGGUCGCCGGUUCGAUUCCGGCUUGCGGCG
RNAcentral lists this transfer RNA (73 nucleotides) under Fasciola hepatica (liver fluke). It matches the Rfam family "tRNA". From Rfam's summary of the family: Transfer RNA (tRNA) molecules are approximately 80 nucleotides in length. Their secondary structure includes four short double-helical elements and three loops (D, anti-codon, and T loops). The record is from Rfam by way of RNAcentral. Lineage: Eukaryota; Metazoa; Platyhelminthes; Trematoda; Plagiorchiida; Fasciolidae.